CCUACGGGAGGCAGCAGUGGGGAAUAUUGCACAAUGGGCGAAAGCCUGAUGCAGCGACGCCGCGUGAGGGAUGACGGCCUUCGGGUUGUAAACCUCUUUCAGCAGGGAAGAAGCGAGAGUGACGGUACCUGCAGAAGAAGCGCCGGCUAACUACGUGCCAGCAGCCGCGGUAAUACGUAGGGCGCAAGCGUUGUCCGGAAUUAUUGGGCGUAAAGAGCUCGUAGGCGGCUUGUCACGUCGGGUGUGAAAGCCCGGGGCUUAACCCCGGGUCUGCAUUCGAUACGGGCUAGCUAGAGUGUGGUAGGGGAGAUCGGAAUUCCUGGUGUAGCGGUGAAAUGCGCAGAUAUCAGGAGGAACACCGGUGGCGAAGGCGGAUCUCUGGGCCAUUACUGACGCUGAGGAGCGAAAGCGUGGGGAGCGAACAGGAUUAGAUACCCUGGUAGUCCACGCCGUAAACGGUGGGAACUAGGUGUUGGCGACAUUCCACGUCGUCGGUGCCGCAGCUAACGCAUUAAGUUCCCGCCUGGGGAGUACGGCCGCAAGGCUAAAACUCAAAUGAAUUGACGG
This 567-nucleotide ribosomal RNA is filed under the name uncultured bacterium. RNAcentral describes it as "bacterial SSU rRNA". It matches the Rfam family "Bacterial small subunit ribosomal RNA", at positions 338 to 916 of the family's 1533-position model. The record is from RNAcentral.